AUUCUUUUGUGGUUCAUAGGCGUGAUGACUGGUUUUUCACUCUUUUGUGUAAGAUGUGCCUCUCUCAAACUUUGUACAGUACCAACACAUUACCUGUCUGACG
Molecule: small nucleolar RNA, 103 nt
Organism: Tupaia belangeri (northern tree shrew)
Lineage: Eukaryota; Metazoa; Chordata; Mammalia; Scandentia; Tupaiidae
Source: Ensembl